Oryza sativa Japonica Group (Japanese rice) is the source of this 4312-nucleotide non-coding RNA. Lineage: Eukaryota; Viridiplantae; Streptophyta; Magnoliopsida; Poales; Poaceae. The record is from RefSeq and is a predicted model, not a curated record.
GUGUACUCCACUCAUCACUCCCCACCCCCAACCUCAGCUCGCCGCUCGCGAGGAAACCGGCUCCGCGACGAAAAGAAUAAUGUCGAACACCUAUCUCCCCCUCCUCCCUGCUCUCGUCGCCGGCGUCCUCCUCCUCGCCGCCGGAUGCGCCGCCGCCGCCGGCGACCGCGACACGCUCGUUGCCAUCAGGAAAGGGUGGGGGAACCCGCGGCACCUCGCGUCGUGGGACCCCGCCUCGGCGGCGGCGGCGGACCACUGCAGCUGGGAAGGCGUGACCUGCUCUAAUGCCACCACCGGCGGCGGCGGCGGCGCCGGCGUGGUGACGGAGCUGUCCCUGCACGACAUGAACCUCACCGGGACGGUGCCCACGGCGGUGUGCGACCUCGCGAGCCUGACGCGGCUCGACCUCUCCAACAACCAGCUCACCGGCGCGUUCCCCGCCGCGGCGCUGUCCCGGUGCGCCCGCCUCCGGUUCCUCGACCUCGCCAACAACGCCCUCGACGGCGCCCUCCCGCAACACGUCGGCAGGUUGUCCCCGGCGAUGGAGCACCUCAACCUGUCGUCGAAUCGGCUCUCCGGCGCCGUGCCCCCCGAGGUGGCGGCGCUCCCGGCGCUCCGGUCGCUGCUCCUCGACACCAACCGGUUCACGGGGGCGUACCCAGCGGCGGAGAUUGCCAACCUCACCGCCCUCGAGCGCCUCACGCUGGCCGACAACGGGUUCGCGCCGGCGCCCGUGCCGCCCGCGUUCGCCAAGCUGACCAAGCUCACCUACCUCUGGAUGUCCAAGAUGAACAUCACCGGCGAGAUUCCGGAGGCGUUCUCCAGCCUCACGGAGCUGACGCUGCUCGACAUGUCGGGGAACAAGCUCACCGGCGCGAUUCCGGCGUGGGUGUUCAGGCACCAGAAGCUCGAGAGGCUCUACCUGUACGAGAACUCCCUCUCCGGCGAGCUGCCGCGCAACGUCACGACGGCGAACCUGGUCGAGAUCGACCUGUCGUCGAACCAGCUCGGGGGCGAGAUAUCGGAGGACUUCGGCAACCUCAAGAACCUCAGCUUGCUGUUCCUCUACUUCAACAAGGUCACCGGCGCCAUCCCGGCGAGCAUCGGGCGGCUCCCCAAUCUCACCGACCUCCGGCUGUUCGGCAACGAGCUCUCCGGCGAGCUCCCGCCGGAGCUCGGGAAGAACUCGCCGCUCGCCAACUUCGAGGUCUCCAACAACAACCUCUCCGGCGCGCUCCCGGAGACGCUCUGCGCCAACGGGAAGCUGUUCGACAUUGUCGUCUUCAACAACAGCUUCUCCGGCGAGCUCCCGGCGAACCUCGGCGACUGCGUGCUGCUGAACAACCUCAUGCUCUACAACAACCGCUUCACCGGCGACUUCCCGGAGAAGAUUUGGUCGUUCCAGAAGCUGACCACGGUGAUGAUCCAGAACAACGGCUUCACCGGAGCUCUGCCCGCCGAGAUAUCCACCAACAUCUCCCGCAUCGAGAUGGGGAACAACAUGUUCUCCGGCUCUAUCCCGACCUCGGCGACCAAGCUCACCGUGUUCCGGGCGGAGAACAACCUGCUCGCCGGCGAGCUCCCGGCCGACAUGAGCAAUCUCACCGACCUCACCGAUUUUUCAGUGCCGGGCAACCGAAUAUCUGGCUCCAUACCCGCGUCGAUCAGGCUGCUGGUGAAGCUCAACUCGCUCAACCUGAGCAGCAACCGGAUCUCCGGCGUGAUACCGCCGGCGAGCUUCGGGACGCUCCCGGCGCUGACCAUCCUCGAUCUGUCCGGCAACGAGCUCACCGGCGACAUACCUGCCGAUUUGGGGUACCUCAACUUCAACUCGCUCAACGUGUCGUCGAACCGGCUCACCGGCGAGGUGCCGCUCACGCUCCAGGGCGCGGCGUACGAUCGCAGCUUCCUCGGCAACAGUCUCUGCGCCAGGCCGGGCUCCGGCACGAACCUCCCGACCUGCCCCGGUGGAGGCGGCGGCGGAGGCGGCCACGACGAGCUCUCCAAGGGCCUGAUCGUCCUCUUCUCGAUGCUCGCCGGCAUUGUCCUCGUCGGCAGCGCCGGCAUCGCGUGGCUGCUCCUCCGGCGGCGGAAGGACAGCCAGGACGUCACCGACUGGAAGAUGACGCAGUUCACCCCGCUGGACUUCGCCGAGUCCGACGUGCUCGGCAACAUCCGGGAGGAGAACGUCAUCGGCAGCGGCGGGUCGGGCAAGGUGUACCGCAUCCACCUCACCUCCCGCGGCGGCGGCGCCACCGCCACCGCCGGCAGGAUGGUGGCCGUGAAGAAGAUCUGGAACGCGAGGAAGCUGGACGCGAAGCUGGACAAGGAGUUCGAGGCGGAGGUGACGGUGCUCGGCAACAUCCGGCACAACAACAUCGUCAAGCUGCUGUGCUGCAUCUCCAGCCAGGACGCCAAGCUGCUGGUGUACGAGUACAUGGAGAACGGCAGCCUCGACCGGUGGCUGCACCACCGCGACCGCGACGGCGCGCCGGCGCCGCUGGACUGGCCGACGAGGCUGGCCAUCGCCGUCGACGCCGCCAGGGGGCUCAGCUACAUGCACCACGACUGCGCGCAGGCGAUCGUGCACCGCGACGUCAAGUCCAGCAACAUCCUGCUCGACCCGGAGUUCCAGGCCAAGAUCGCCGACUUUGGCCUCGCCCGGAUGCUCGUCAAGUCAGGCGAGCCUGAGUCCGUGUCGGCCAUCGGCGGCACGUUUGGGUACAUGGCGCCAGAGUAUGGGUACAGCAAGAGGGUGAAUGAGAAGGUGGACGUCUACAGCUUCGGCGUCGUGUUGCUGGAGCUGACGACCGGCAAGGUCGCGAACGACGCCGCAGCCGACUUCUGCCUGGCCGAGUGGGCGUGGCGGCGGUACCAGAAAGGCCCUCCGUUCGAUGACGUCAUCGACGCCGACAUCCGGGAGCAGGCCAGUCUGCCGGACAUCAUGUCGGUGUUCACGCUCGGCGUGAUCUGCACGGGGGAGAACCCGCCGGCGAGGCCGUCCAUGAAGGAGGUCCUGCACCACCUCAUCCGGUGCGACCGGAUGUCGGCCCAGGGACCCGAGGCGUGCCAGCUGGACUAUGUCGACGGCGCCGCUCCGCUGCUGGAGGCGAAGAAGGGGAGCCGGCGGAGGAGCUCGGAGUCUGGCAGGUGGGACGACGACGACGACGAUGACAGCGGCAAUUUCGUGGUGCACGUUGUUUAGGGGGCAAUCCCGGUGUGCACUAGCACUGUAGAGCGAGUACAUAGGUAGAGGAGCUCAUCCAUGAUCCAUGGUGGAGCUUUUGCAGAGGAGUUUUUCUCUGAUGACGUGGCAGCUCGGAAAACAUGAGCCCUUCAGAUCUCAGAUUGCAGCAGUAAGGGGUUGUUUGGUUUGCAAUAGCACCAAGUUGAGAGGUUUUGACAAGGAGCACAUCACCUAGUAGUGCUCAAGGACCAAACAGAUCACAGGUAAAUCAUCAUCUCCAAGCUAAACACUGUCAGGCAGAAUGCAAUAGUGGAUUCGCAUCCAACAUUCCAAGUUGCAUUUCUGAAACUCUGAAACUUGUGGGCACAUUUGGAUGUUCUGAAGAAAACCGGAGAAAGUUUCGUCGGUCUUUGGAAUGGACUGCAUAAAAUGGGCGGCUGGACUCUAGUGCUGCUGCUGCUACUGCACGCCCGCAUGAUGAAGCGAACUUGGUGUGGUUCGUUGCUACUGAAUGUGACAUAUGGUGUGAAGGUUUUUUUCAAAGUGGGGGCAGGUUGGUCUGCAGAAACGAACAAAUCCAUUGGAUGGAAUCAACUGAACAUUCUGAAGAAAACAGUGUGCAAGACAAGAGCAUGACUCUGACUCGUGUGCACUGCAGAUCGUCAACAUGCUUUGGAUCUAUCUCAUGUGCAGCCAUACUGGCAUCCAUCCGGUGGCCAACCUUUAUUACAAAACGGUGGCCUGAAGCCCUGAAUGCAAUGUUGUACAGUUUUCUGAAUGAUUACUUACUGUUCCAUUUGCAUACUACGGUACAAUACAAGGCUGCCAACCUGAAAAAUGUCGGUAGUGAAGAAGUAAAGAUGAUUUUUUUUUUCCAGGAGGAGAUCAAGCUUUGUACAUCUCACAGAUGUCCGCUAGUACCACAACUGAGCAUCAAUCUUCUAGAACUUUUCCAUUUGGCAAAGCGUUUUUUCACUGAAAAUGAAAAGAUCUCAGAAACAUGAGUUGUAUCCUCCUAGCUGAUGUUAGUUACAUGGCAGAAGUACCGUAUAUGGUAUGCAGUACUGCCAGUGCUCACCUUGUGAUGCCUGACGAGUUAAAUCCAGUGGAAAUUUUUAGCUACCA